This 492-nucleotide ribosomal RNA is filed under the name uncultured bacterium. Its description in RNAcentral is "partial 16S ribosomal RNA". It matches the Rfam family "Bacterial small subunit ribosomal RNA", at positions 29 to 507 of the family's 1533-position model. The record is from RNAcentral.
AGUGAACGCUGGCGGUAGGCCUAACACAUGCAAGUCGAACGGACGCACAGUAAGCUUUUGCUUUUACGGGUGGCGGCUGGCGGGUGGGUGACGAGUACAUAGGAAUCUACUUUUUCGUGGGGGAUUACGUGGAGCAGCUUACACUACUACAUAAUACGUCCUACGGCUUGGAGCAGUGGUGCAUCGCACCUUGGCCGUUUCAUUGAGACGGCGCCGCAUUAGCUAGUUGGCGGGGUAAAGGCCCACCAAGGCGACGAUCCGUAGCUGGUCUGAGAGGAUGAUCGGCCACACUGGAACUGAGACACGGUCCAGACUCCUACGGGAGGCAGCAGUGGGGAAUAUUGGACAAUGGGCGCAAGCCUGACCCAGCCAUACCGCGUGAGUGAAGAAGGCCUUCGGGUUGUAAAGCCCUUUUAUUGGGAAAGAAAAGCAGUAGGUGAAUACCCGGCUGUUCUGACGGUACCCAAAGAAUAAGCACCGGCUAACUUCGUG